UGUUGUUGUUUUGUUUGCUUUCAGUACAG
Molecule: non-coding RNA, 29 nt
Filed under: Mus musculus (house mouse)
Lineage: Eukaryota; Metazoa; Chordata; Mammalia; Rodentia; Muridae
Source: RNAcentral